This 1139-nucleotide long non-coding RNA is filed under the name Accipiter nisus (Eurasian sparrowhawk). Its description in RNAcentral is "lncRNA (ENSANIG00000014340.1)". Lineage: Eukaryota; Metazoa; Chordata; Aves; Accipitriformes; Accipitridae. The record is from RNAcentral.
CCCAGCCUCAGACGAUCGCUUUACAGACACUGCAUACUACACCUCGCAGGUCUGAACUGCGGCUCAAAGCAGCUGUUGCAGACCCGGGGCAGGUUUUCCUUCCUUCCUUUGUCUUGCCCACAGCUCACACAGAACGACUUUCCCCACCUCCUGCUUCCAGCCCUGGAGGCAUAACGUGCUACAGCAAACCGCUUCUCCAAGAUGCUGCAGGUAAACUUGUCACAACCGUCUCCGGCUGUUAUAACGAAUUUCAGCACCAGAAACACAGCAUCAGCAACCACCCCAGGGGUGCAAAGGCUCCGUCGAGUCCCAGGACGGGGUGCAAUUUCUGAAUUAUCCCUGCUGCUCAGCCCUGACGUUGCAGACCACGUUGGGAGCAGCGCUGAUCCCGCACUCCCCCUCCACAUCCUCCUCUGGUCGUGCUCAACAGACGCUGUGACUCGACAAGGAUCAGAUCAGGAGCGGAAUCUCUCCAAGCCCGAGCCGGGGCGGGGGGAAAGGGCACGAAGCACACGCCGAGAAGCUUGCGCAUCUGCUUAAGGUUCCUGCAGUCAUCUCCCUACUAAUCAUCUGCAUUAGCUGGGCUUCAGCACAGUGAAGAGUAGCUAACUGGUGAUCCGUUGGCCAACAAGCUUAGCAAGCAUCCUGAUAACCGUGGGUAGCCAGCAAGAACAUCAGCAGAGGGAAGUUAUGCUUCUGCCUUUCUGCCCAAUGUCAGUCCCUGGAUCAAAAAGUCACUCCUACCAAUCAUUUAAUGGAAGUCUUUCUCUCUCCAUGUUUUUAGGAUUACUUGUCUGCUUUGAUGCUGUUUAUACACAUCAUUUUGCAGUUUGAGCAGGAAGCUAAAAGGUGUGUAUAGCAAAACAUGACAAGAUAAAGCUAACUGAACUUUUAAACUCAUGGAAAACAUGGGACACUUCAUCCUGCUAAAUCACUUCCCAUGAAAGCUUAUUUCCCCUCUGGGGAAAGACAUUAUAUAUACAAAUAAUUAUCAUGUUCAUGGGUAAAAUUAAAACAUUCAAACAAUUAACAGCCAAGUUCAAUGCUAAAUGCUAACUUUGAAGGUUUGGGGGUUAAAUAAAAAAGUACUCAUUCAAUUUGAUCCUGUUUGAAAUGUUUUGCUUUGACUUAAACAUUUU